Molecule: ribosomal RNA, 435 nt
Filed under: uncultured Flavobacterium sp.
Lineage: Bacteria; Pseudomonadati; Bacteroidota; Flavobacteriia; Flavobacteriales; Flavobacteriaceae
Description: bacterial SSU rRNA
Rfam family: Bacterial small subunit ribosomal RNA
Source: RNAcentral
GGAAUAUUGGACAAUGGGCGCAAGCCUGAUCCAGCCAUGCCGCGUGCAGGAUGACGGUCCUAUGGAUUGUAAACUGCUUUUAUACAGGAAGAAACAGUUCUACGUGUAGAACCUUGACGGUACUGUAAGAAUAAGGAUCGGCUAACUCCGUGCCAGCAGCCGCGGUAAUACGGAGGAUCCAAGCGUUAUCCGGAAUCAUUGGGUUUAAAGGGUCCGUAGGCGGUUUAAUAAGUCAGUGGUGAAAGCCCAUCGCUCAACGGUGGAACGGCCAUUGAUACUGUUAGACUUGAAUUAUUAGGAAGUAACUAGAAUAUGUAGUGUAGCGGUGAAAUGCUUAGAGAUUACAUGGAAUACCAAUUGCGAAGGCAGGUUACUACUAAUUGAUUGACGCUGAUGGACGAAAGCGUGGGUAGCGAACAGGAUUAGAUACCCCGG